CGCAAACCGACACAGGUAGUCAAGAUGAGAAUUCUAAGGUGAGCGAGCGAACUCUCGUUAAGGAACUCGGCAAAAUGACCCCGUAACUUCGGGAGAAGGGGUGCUCUUUGAGGUUCACGCUUCGAAGAGCCGCAGUGAAUAGGCCCAAGCGACUGUUUAUCAAAAACACAGGUCUCUGCUAAACCGUAAGGUGACGUAUAGGGGCUGACGCCUGCCCGGUGCUGGAAGGUUAAGAGGAGUGGUUAGCGCAAGCGAAGCUACGAAUCGAAGCCCCAGUAAACGGCGGCCGUAACUAUAACGGUCCUAAGGUAGCGAAAUUCCUUGUCGGGUAAGUUCCGACCCGCACGAAAGGCGUAACGAUUUGGGCACUGUCUCAACGAGAGACUCGGUGAAAUCAUAGUACCGGUGAAGAUGCCGGUUACCCGCGACAGGACGGAAAGACCCCGUGGAGCUUUACUGUAGCCUGAUAUUGAAAUUCGGUACAGUUUGUACAGGAUAGGUAGGAGCCUUAGAAGCGUGAGCGCUAGCUUACGUGGAGGCAUUGGUGGGAUACUACCCUAAUUGUAUUGGAUUUCUAACCCGCAGCACUUAUCGUGCUGGGAGACAGUGUCAGGCGGGCAGUUUGACUGGGGCGGUCGCCUCCUAAAGAGUAACGGAGGCGCUCAAAGGUUCCCUCAGAAUGGUUGGAAAUCAUUCAUAGAGUGUAAAGGCAUAAGGGAGCUUGACUGCGAGACCUACAAGUCGAGCAGGGUCGAAAGACGGACUUAGUGAUCCGGUGGUUCCGCAUGGAAGGGCCAUCGCUCAACGGAUAAAAGCUACCCCGGGGAUAACAGGCUUAUCUCCCCCAAGAGUUCACAUCGACGGGGAGGUUUGGCACCUCGAUGUCGGCUCAUCGCAUCCUGGGGCUGUAGUCGGUCCCAAGGGUUGGGCUGUUCGCCCAUUAAAGCGGUACGCGAGCUGGGUUCAGAACGUCGUGAGACAGUUCGGUCCCUAUCCGUCGUGGGCGUAGGAAAUUUGAGAGGAGCUGUCCUUAGUACGAGAGGACCGGGAUGGACAUACCUCUGGUGUACCAGUUGUCGUGCCAACGGCAUAGCUGGGUAGCUAUGUAUGGACGGGAUAAGUGCUGAAAGCAUCUAAGCAUGAAGCCCCCCUCGAGAUGAGAUUUCCCAACUUCGGUUAUAAGAUCCCUCAAAGAUGAUGAGGUGAAUAGGUUCGAGGUGGAAGCGUAGCGAUACGUGGAGCUGACGAAUACUA
RNAcentral lists this ribosomal RNA (1254 nucleotides) under Staphylococcus pseudintermedius. RNAcentral describes it as "partial 23S ribosomal RNA". It matches the Rfam family "Bacterial large subunit ribosomal RNA", at positions 1648 to 2903 of the family's 2925-position model. Lineage: Bacteria; Bacillati; Bacillota; Bacilli; Caryophanales; Staphylococcaceae. The record is from RNAcentral.